AUUAAACAAAGGAGGUUUAAAUAUUUUCAUAAUGAGUAAAAUACACUAACACCCCCUAUAGAUAAUCAUAAUAACACUCAUCAUUCUUCUAGUUUUUCAAGUAACAGUCAGUACUCCUCUAGUCUACAAUAUGUAAUAUUCACUACCCCUAGUAUGGUUGACCAACUAAUAUUUAAAAAUAUUUUUAAUAUAAUGUCUAAU
RNAcentral lists this long non-coding RNA (201 nucleotides) under Panax ginseng (ginseng). RNAcentral's name for it is "long non-coding RNA (PGIN_LNC003238)". The record is from RNAcentral. Lineage: Eukaryota; Viridiplantae; Streptophyta; Magnoliopsida; Apiales; Araliaceae.